This 497-nucleotide ribosomal RNA is filed under the name uncultured bacterium. RNAcentral describes it as "partial 16S ribosomal RNA". It matches the Rfam family "Bacterial small subunit ribosomal RNA", at positions 28 to 507 of the family's 1533-position model. The record is from RNAcentral.
GAUGAACGCUGGCGGCGUGCCUAAUACAUGCAAGUCGAGCGAACAGACGAGGAGCUUGCUCCUCUGACGUUAGCGGCGGACGGGUGAGUAACACGUGGAUAACCUACCUAUAAGACUGGGAUAACUUCGGGAAACCGGAGCUAAUACCGGAUAAUAUAUUGAACCGCAUGGUUCAAUAGUGAAAGACGGUUUUGCUGUCACUUAUAGAUGGAUCCGCGCCGCAUUAGCUAGUUGGUAAGGUAACGGCUUACCAAGGCAACGAUGCGUAGCCGACCUGAGAGGGUGAAUGGCCCACCUGGAACUGAAGCAAGGUCCCAGCUCCUAAGGGAGGCAACAGUAAGGAAACUUCCGCCAUGGGCGGAAGCCUGGACGGGCCAACGCCGCGGGGUGGAGAAGGUCUUUCGAUUCUAAAAACCUGUUAAUAGGGAAGAACAAAUGUGUAAGUAACUAUGCACGUCUUGACGGUACCUAAUCAGAAAGCCACGGCUAACUACGUG